CGCCGCCUCCCAGCGGGUGGCGCUGGCGAGUCGCCGACGGAGAGCGGCGGGGGCUGCGCGGGAGCGGAGCGGGAACGGGAACGCACCGGGAACGCACCGGGAACGGGAACGCACCGGGAACGGGAACGCACCGGGAACGGGAACGCACCGGGAACGCACCGGGAACGGAGCCGGAGCGGAGCCGGGAGAGGGAACGGAGCGGGAGUGGGAGCGGGAGCCGGGUCUGGCGCGGCAGCCCCGUCGUGGGUGGCGGGAGGCUGCGGAGAAGUGUAUUCAGGAUGAGAUCUUACCAAGCAGCAGAAAUCUAUUAAGUAUGCAUGUC
RNAcentral lists this long non-coding RNA (322 nucleotides) under Chloebia gouldiae (Gouldian finch). RNAcentral describes it as "Erythrura gouldiae (Gouldian finch) lncRNA (ENSEGOG00005001873.1)". The record is from RNAcentral. Lineage: Eukaryota; Metazoa; Chordata; Aves; Passeriformes; Passeridae.